AUUCGACGCAACGCGNNAAACCUUACCUACCCUUGACAUGCCAGGAACCUCGCAGAGAUGUGAGGGUGCUCGAAAGAGAAUCUGGACACAGGUGCUGCAUGGCUGUCGUCAGCUCGUGUCGUGAGAUGUUGGGUUAAGUCCCGCAACGAGCGCAACCCUUGCCAUUAGUUGCCACAUUAAGUUGGGCACUCUAAUGGGACUGCCGGUGACAAACCGGAGGAAGGUGGGGAUGACGUCAAGUCCUCAUGGCCCUUAUGGGUAGGGCUACACACGUCAUACAAUGGCGCAUACAGAGGGUUGCCAACCCGCGAGGGGGAGCUAAUCCCAGAAAGUGCGUCGUAGUCCGGAUUGCAGUCUGCAACUCGACUGCAUGAAGUCGGAAUCGCUAGUAAUCGCGGAUCAGCAUGUCGCGGUGAAUACGUUCCCGGGCCUUGUACACACCGCCCGUCACACCAUGGGAGUGGGUUUCACCAGAAGCAGAUAGCCUAACCGCAAGGAGGG
This 501-nucleotide ribosomal RNA is filed under the name uncultured bacterium. RNAcentral describes it as "bacterial SSU rRNA". It matches the Rfam family "Bacterial small subunit ribosomal RNA", at positions 949 to 1450 of the family's 1533-position model. The record is from RNAcentral.